GUUGGAAUAGCUCAGUUGGUUAGAGCGUGUGGUUGUUAACCACAAGGUCAGAGGUUGAAGCCCUCUUUUUAGCG
Molecule: transfer RNA, 74 nt
Filed under: Ipomoea nil (Japanese morning glory)
Lineage: Eukaryota; Viridiplantae; Streptophyta; Magnoliopsida; Solanales; Convolvulaceae
Rfam family: tRNA
About the family: Transfer RNA (tRNA) molecules are approximately 80 nucleotides in length.
Source: Rfam by way of RNAcentral